Small nucleolar RNA from Gadus morhua (Atlantic cod), 143 nucleotides. Ensembl annotates it as small nucleolar RNA SNORA13. The record is from Ensembl. Lineage: Eukaryota; Metazoa; Chordata; Actinopteri; Gadiformes; Gadidae.
UGCCUUUAUGUGUUGCCAGUUCACUGCGUUCAUAGUGAACUGGGUGUCAACUAAGGCAAACAGUAACUUGCUUUUGUCUUUGAAAGGAAUUUUACAUGCCAGAACAAUGGCAGGUACAUGCUGUUUCCAAACAGAAAACAUGA